GCGGAUAUGGCGGAACUGGUAGACGCGCUGGAUUUAGGUUCCAGUGCCGCAAGGCGUGGGGGUUCGACUCCCUCUAUCCGCACCA
RNAcentral lists this transfer RNA (85 nucleotides) under Phyllobacteriaceae bacterium. RNAcentral's name for it is "tRNA-Leu". It matches the Rfam family "tRNA". Rfam says of the family: Transfer RNA (tRNA) molecules are approximately 80 nucleotides in length. Their secondary structure includes four short double-helical elements and three loops (D, anti-codon, and T loops). RNAcentral also lists the same sequence under 6 other names. The record is from RNAcentral. Lineage: Bacteria; Pseudomonadati; Pseudomonadota; Alphaproteobacteria; Hyphomicrobiales; Phyllobacteriaceae.